GACGAACGCUGGCGGCGUGCUUAACACAUGCAAGUCGAACGCUGAAGCUCAGCUUUUGUUGGGUGGAUGAGUGGCGAACGGGUGAGUAACACGUGAGUAACCUGCCCCCUUCUUUGGGAUAACGCCCGGAAACGGGUGCUAAUACUGGAUAUUCACUGGUCUUCGCAUGGGGGUUGGUGGAAAGGGUUUUUCUGGUGGGGGAUGGGCUCGCGGCCUAUCAGCUUGUUGGUGGGGUGAUGGCCUACCACGGCUUUGACGGGUAGCCGGCCUGAGAGGGUGACCGGGCACAUUGGGACGGAGAUACGGCCCAGACUGCUACGGGAGGCAGCAGUGGGGAAAAGUGCAAAAGGGGGGCAAGUCUGAGGCAGCGACGCCGCGUGAGGGAUGGGGGCCUACGGGUUGGGAACCUCUUUCGCUCAUGGGCAAGCCGCAACAAUGGUUGUGGUGAGGGUAGUGGGUAAAGAAGCGCCGGCUAACUACGUG
This 483-nucleotide ribosomal RNA is filed under the name uncultured bacterium. RNAcentral describes it as "partial 16S ribosomal RNA". It matches the Rfam family "Bacterial small subunit ribosomal RNA", at positions 28 to 507 of the family's 1533-position model. The record is from RNAcentral.